GCCUGCACUCUGGAACCGGCGAAGCCCAGCGGGCUAGAGCUCUCUGCACCCGGUACUCUUGGCCCGACCCGGCCCCUGAACAGUUUCCCGGCCUGCCUGCAGGGGGCGGAGAGGAGGCGAUCGGGGCUGAGAGGAUGAACAGCUCUGAAGAUCAACAAACCUUGGUCUUCCCUUUGCUUUGAGGGCCAGGGGCUGGUUUCUAAGACAGGGUGUGAAUUCCCGCCCAACCCUCGCCCCUACUUCGCCCCUGAAAACCUAAAUCGUGUAGGUUAGAGUGGGAGACCUCGCCUCUCCACAGGGCUGGUGUUGACUACAGCAAGAGACCCAUCCAAGUCCAAAAGCCAAUUGUGUAUUUACAGCAUGGUCUGCUUGUAACUGCCAGUAUCUGGAUUUCCAAUCUUUCCAACAGUAGCCUGGGCUUCAUUCUGGCAGAUGCUGGUUAUGAUGUGUGGAUGGGAAACAGCAGGGGAAAUAAGUGGUCCAGGAAACAUAUGUACCUAGAAACAGAUUCCAAAGAAUUCUGGGCCUUCAGAGUGAGAUGAUUUCCUACUGGGGUUACCCAAGUGAAAUGCAUGAAGUUUUAACUGAAGAUGGUUACAUCCUUCCCCUGCACCAGAUUCCUCAUGGGAAGAAUGAUGCUAAUCAUUUAGAUAGGAUUGGAGUGAGUUGGAAAAUGAAAGCCUUCAAGUCCCAAAUCAAAUAUA
Molecule: long non-coding RNA, 704 nt
Organism: Phacochoerus africanus (Common warthog)
Lineage: Eukaryota; Metazoa; Chordata; Mammalia; Artiodactyla; Suidae
Exons: 3
Source: RefSeq, a predicted model, not a curated record